UGCCAGCAGCCGCGGUAAUACAGAGGGUGCAAGCGUUGUUCGGAAUUAUUGGGCGUAAAGCGCACGUAGGCGGCUUGGUAAGUCAGAUGUGAAAGCCCGGGGCUCAACCCCGGAAGUGCAUCCGAAACUGCCUGGCUUGAGUCUUGGAGAGGGUGGUGGAAUUCCCAGUGUAGAGGUGAAAUUCGUAGAUAUUGGGAGGAACACCGGUGGCGAAGGCGACCACCUGGACAAUGACUGACGCUGAGGUGCGAAAGCGUGGGGAGCAAACAGGAUUAGAUA
Molecule: ribosomal RNA, 279 nt
Filed under: uncultured bacterium
Lineage: Bacteria
Description: partial 16S ribosomal RNA
Rfam family: Bacterial small subunit ribosomal RNA
Source: RNAcentral